GAACACUUAAAGGUCAUUGCCAGCUUAUUAAUUGGCUUAAUUUUAAUAUUACUGUUUCUUAGGGAGUAAGGAGGCUAGUCAGCACAGCAGUCAGAGCUCACAUCACAUUUAUGGCACAAAACAGCAACACCACCUACCCCUCCCAUUGCCUUCUUUAGAGUAAGUUCUCUGUUCUGAAGCCUUGGCACAGGCUGACAUCCUUCUUACAUAUUUUACUGAAUUGCAGAUGUGAAACUGGUGCCCUUUCCUGUGAAGCUAACCACAGCACUGGCCCAAGAGUCACAGAAGAUAAAGGAAGAGACCCAAGAGGAGUUGGACGAGCAAGUCCUGCUGCUGCUGCAGACGCUGCACACACUGGUCUAGGAUUUUGAGAAACUGAAGGAGGAGAUCCAGCUGUUGCUGGAGUGACUGUCAGCUGGCCCUGCUCCACUUAGACAAGGUGAGCCAGCCCAUCAGAAACAAUGUGCCUGAUUUGCAAUGGCACCCGAUGUCUUGCAUUGUAAUUGCAUUGACCUUCCCAGUAUAAAAGGAUAUGACUGUUGCUGCUUCUCUUCCACUUUUCAAAUGUCAUCUAAAGUAUCUCUUGCAGCCCACAGGAAUUUGGAAUUAUGCUAAAAAGUGGAUUCUGAGAAUCAUGUUUGUAACUUAAAUGAGCUUACACAGUGCAUAUCACCUUGCAUAUGUCAAAAUAAAAAAUGAAAUAAAAAUCGAUACAAUCUCUUCUUCUCCCUGGAGUAAAGACAGUAUCUUUUUUCUGAAUACUAUGUGUUCAUCAGUCUUCUCAUCACAGCUUCAGUGCCUGUAUCAGAUAACAUCUUAGGAAGUCUCAUCCAGGCUACCCUUCCUCCAGACACACUGGAUAUGAUCUUAAUUGCUAGAAUAUUAAGAGAAGAUAAUAAGAUAAGAAGGGAAGCAGCAACCAUAUGAUGUGAUAAUUGUGAGUCUGGGACCUGGAAGCUUUACAAAAGAUAUUGGGUAAUAAAGACUUGGAGACUUACAUGUUUAACUUCCUUAUCCAGAGUGAUCUGAUGGGCAUAUUUAUUAUGAUGAUGGUAAAGAUAUUAAGUUCAAAUUCAACCCCCAUCUGAGAGGACUGGAAGACUGUUUAAGUUGUCAGGGUAGCCUGACAAUGAACCAGGGCUGCAUACAAACCAUUAGUGAAAACUGCAAAGAUACAUGUAACACACAGGCAAAUAUACAAAGAGAACCUUGUAUGGAGUGUAAAAGAAGCAUACGCCUACAAACUGCUGGAGGCUUUGAAAGCAAUUUACCGAGAAAGCUUUUUACAGUGGCCCACUUUGGAGCCAUCGAUAAUUAACUAAACAAAUAUUUCAGAGUGUAUCCAACUGGUUUCAGCCAAUUUCCUUAGGGAGUUGUGAUACUUUAAAUUCCAUAUAAUGAUACUGUUGGAUCAGUGUCUUCAGCUGCAGUAUGUAAGCACACAGGACUUGAUUCAUGAUCAUAUGGGUAAUAAUUUGAGAUCAAUAUUUUAAAUAAUGUAAUAGAAAACCAGCAAGGAAUCUCUCACAAGUAAUAAAUAGCGCUUGAGCCUUAGUUGUGGGUAUAUGGAGUCAUUAUGAAUUCUGCCAAGUAUAUAGAUUUAUGCUUAUACAAAUUACUGAGUGAUAAAAGACAACAUUUCUCAUAAUAGCAAUAUGGUUUCAUAACCUAUCCAAGAGCAUAGGUUUCUUCAUGUAGGACACCAAGAAACCAAAGCAUUAUUCUAACCACUUAUUCAUAAUAGGUCUGACUUUAGCAGCUGAUAUUUCUGCCUUGCAGAGACUCUGUUUUUCCCAGUCUUGAGAUGAGAUGUGAAGCUUGUCUUAUUCACACUGCGUGGCAUAUGGAAAGAAGCUCAGGCUUUAGAGGCAGAAAUACAUCUGCUCGAGGGAUCUGCUUAGUGCUAGUUUCUGCUUCUGUAAAAUGCGAAU
This 1931-nucleotide long non-coding RNA is filed under the name Homo sapiens (human). RNAcentral's name for it is "HSALNT0204341". The record is from RNAcentral. Lineage: Eukaryota; Metazoa; Chordata; Mammalia; Primates; Hominidae.